AUGAGAAUUUUUUUCUCUCUGUUUCACGCACUGCAGUCCCUUGUGCCUCCCUCCUCACUUUCUUGUUAUAUAUCUAUUUCUUCUUGCAUUUUUAUUACAGUACUGCAACUAGAAAAUAAUCUUUCUAUGCUAAUUCACCAAAGUUCUGCAACUUUAGCACAAGAAAUACUCCUGUAUUUCUCCCUGGUUGACUUGACAGGUUCAUUGAGACUAGUGGAAUGAUUUGAGAGAGCGCUAACUAAUUUCAGAGAGACCUCCACAGCCUUGGUCCACUUUGGGAAGUUGGAUUUAAUAGUAUGUGAAAAUGACUGAAACCAAAAGCAGGCACAGAGGUGAGAAUUCUCAGUGGUUCCUGUGGAUAUACCUUCAUAGUUGGUGAAAUCCACAUUCUUAUCUGAGGUUUACCUCAAAUCUCCCCCAACUAUUCUUAUCCCCUUAAAUCCAUGCCUGCCUUCCUGCCCAUUGAAUAUUGACAUAUUUGCUCAGAUGGAGCUAUAGGAUAUAGUCUGUGUUCAAGCUUGUCUACUUUGCAGUGAACAUGUAAGUGAAAUUCACUUUUUCUCCAAUUCUACUCUGUAUCUGAAAAUUUCUGACCUUUUUUUCUUUCCUCGUGCAUCAGAAACUACAUGUGCAUGUCUUUGUGUGCUGGCCAUUCAAAUCCUCAUUUCAGAUGCUUUACCUCAUAUCUGUUUUGCUUUAUUCAUCUCAGAAACAGCUAAAAGAAAUCUGUUUGAUGUUGGUGCUUACUGACCAGAGUUCUGUUAAGUCAGACAUGGUGAUUCUCAUAAGCAGCGCAUGUGAAUGAGUACUCACCUCUGAAGGAAAGACAAAAAUUGAUCAUUAUAAUAGAUACCUAGAAGUAUUCCAUAAACAAGAAUUCUGAGUUGCUCUCUGAAGUCUUCACUGACUCCUGUAGAGGAUACCAAAAUUCCUAGUUUGGGUAUAAGGAGCUUGGGCAGAACUUGCUGGUGUGUAUUUCUUAAGGCACCUCCAAAGAGGCCAGCACACCUUCUAGUAGCAACUUCUUAUCUGUUGAGUCCUGGCUUUGUCAUGCCUCUUGCAGCACAAGUACAUCUGA
This 1078-nucleotide long non-coding RNA is filed under the name Coturnix japonica (Japanese quail). RNAcentral's name for it is "lncRNA (ENSCJPG00005008425.1)". The record is from RNAcentral. Lineage: Eukaryota; Metazoa; Chordata; Aves; Galliformes; Phasianidae.